RNAcentral lists this transfer RNA (87 nucleotides) under Planctomycetota bacterium. RNAcentral describes it as "tRNA-Leu". It matches the Rfam family "tRNA". From Rfam's summary of the family: Transfer RNA (tRNA) molecules are approximately 80 nucleotides in length. Their secondary structure includes four short double-helical elements and three loops (D, anti-codon, and T loops). Further hydrogen bonds mediate the characteristic L-shaped molecular structure. tRNAs have two regions of fundamental functional importance: the anti-codon, which is responsible for specific mRNA codon recognition, and the 3' end, to which the tRNAs corresponding amino acid is attached (by aminoacyl-tRNA synthetases). tRNAs cope with the degeneracy of the genetic code in two manners: having more than one tRNA (with a specific anti-codon) for a particular amino acid; and 'wobble' base-pairing, i.e. permitting non-standard base-pairing at the 3rd anti-codon position. Lineage: Bacteria; Pseudomonadati; Planctomycetota. The record is from RNAcentral.
GGGCAAGUGGCGGAACUGGCAGACGCGAGGGACUUAAAAUCCCUUCUCCUUAGGGAGGUCCGGGUUCGAACCCCGGCUUGCCCAGCA